GGAAGGAUGCCCGAGUGGUAAGGGUCCCGUUUCGAAAACGGCGGACUGGUGGAAGAAGCCAGCGUGGGUUCGACCCCCACUCCUUCCG
RNAcentral lists this transfer RNA (88 nucleotides) under Myxococcales bacterium. Its description in RNAcentral is "tRNA-Ser". It matches the Rfam family "tRNA". From Rfam's summary of the family: Transfer RNA (tRNA) molecules are approximately 80 nucleotides in length. Their secondary structure includes four short double-helical elements and three loops (D, anti-codon, and T loops). Further hydrogen bonds mediate the characteristic L-shaped molecular structure. tRNAs have two regions of fundamental functional importance: the anti-codon, which is responsible for specific mRNA codon recognition, and the 3' end, to which the tRNAs corresponding amino acid is attached (by aminoacyl-tRNA synthetases). tRNAs cope with the degeneracy of the genetic code in two manners: having more than one tRNA (with a specific anti-codon) for a particular amino acid; and 'wobble' base-pairing, i.e. permitting non-standard base-pairing at the 3rd anti-codon position. The record is from RNAcentral. Lineage: Bacteria; Pseudomonadati; Myxococcota; Myxococcia; Myxococcales.